AGCUCCAAUAGCGUAUAUUUAAGUUGUUGCAGUUAAAAAGCUCGUAGUUGGAUUUCGGGCGUGGAGGUUCGGUCCGCCGUUUCGGUGUGCACUGUCUUUCUGCGUCUUUCUGCCGGGGACGCGCUUCUGGCCUUAAUUGGCUGGGACGUGGAUUCGGCGAUGUUACUUUGAAAAAAUUAGAGUGUUCAAAGCAAGCUAAAGCUCUGAAUACAUUAGCAUGGAAUAACGCGAGAGGACUCGGUCCUUAUUUUGUUGGUCUUCAAGGAUUGAGUAAUGAUUAAGAGGGACAGUUGGGGGCAUUCGUAUUUCAUUGUCAGAGGUGAAAUUCUUGGAUUUAUGAAAGACGAACUUCUGCGAAAGCAUUUGCCAAGGAUGUUUUCAUUGAUCAAGAACGAAAGUA
RNAcentral lists this ribosomal RNA (400 nucleotides) under phytoplankton environmental sample. Its description in RNAcentral is "partial small subunit ribosomal RNA". It matches the Rfam family "Eukaryotic small subunit ribosomal RNA", at positions 587 to 991 of the family's 1831-position model. The record is from RNAcentral.